AGUGAGAAAUGAUUCCUGCAGGCUGAACAAAAACCUGCAGAUGAACAGAUGUUAGUGUUUGUGACAGAAAGAGAGCAGGAAACCACAGCCAGGUUCACAUGUUUCUCCUCCAUCUCACACAGACUCACAAACACACUGAACUGAGGAUUCAAGCAUUAAAUAAAAACACAAGCAGAUGAAAUGAAAGAAUGAAGCAGUUUAGACAGUAAACAUAUGACACCUUCAUCCAAAUGUUCAGAUCAUUCAAAUGUUUACUCCAAUCAUCUUCAUGAUGUAGCAGUGGUCUGUGCAGCUGCACUCAAUCUCCCAAUCACUGACAACCUGGGGCAGGAUAUAAAAAUGGUUUGGCUCACCCUAUGGGAGUGUAAUGCACUGUGCCCAGCCACACCUACUUCCUGUUUGUCGGCUCUCUGCUGGUUUGGCAAGCAAAGCCCUCCAGCACAUGGAGAGGCUUGUCUGAGGUGUGAGCAUGUAGUGCAGAUCAUUUUCCCUCCAGCCAUUCAGGUGACAUGAGCACUUUAGGUAUUUAGACCUAUGCCUGGUGAUUUUUAAGUCUUAACUGCACUUUUAUCUGUUUCAGGUGCAGAGAGGGCACCACUGCUGUGUUUUAUUUACUGUUUUAUUUUAUUUUUAAGCUGUUGUCACAGCUGGUCUUAGUUUAUUUCUGCUCUUGUGCUGCGCGGCCAAACUGAAGCCCUGCCUGGGCACCGCCUCCCUUCCGCGGCAUCAGGCCUUCGGCGCGGCUUCAGGCCUUCGGCGUGCCCUCCCCCUCAGCGGCUUCAGGCCUUCGGCGUGCCCUCCCCCUCAGCGGCUUCAGGCCUUCGGCGUGCCCUCCCCCUCAGCGGCUUUAGGCUUCCAGAGCGGCUUCAGGCUUCUGGCGCGCCCUCCCCUCAGCGGCUUCAGGCCUUCGGCGCGCCCCUGGACUUUUGGACGGUUCCCUUUCCUUUAUUUAGAACUUGUACUACAUUUUAUUUAGGUGUGAGUGUGCAGGUGUGCGUGGUUACCCUACUUACCGGUUUUAUUUUUCUUUUCAGGGGAAGGGCUUGGCAGAGCGAGUUGGCUGACGGCGGUGGAGGCUUUUUGUGUGUUUCCGGGUGUGGGUCCAUUCCCCUUCACGCGUGUGUGUGCAUGUCACUGUGGGGUGAAGUCCAUUUUUGUUUUUUCCUCCCCUCGUACGCCCAGCACUCUGCCGGUAAGCCUUCCCCCAGUAGGGCUUUUAUUUUUUUAGCUUUGAUUGUUUUAAUUGGUUUUAAAUUUUUAAUAAAACUAUUUAUUGAACUGGAA
Oryzias melastigma (Indian medaka) is the source of this 1284-nucleotide long non-coding RNA. RefSeq lists it as uncharacterized. Lineage: Eukaryota; Metazoa; Chordata; Actinopteri; Beloniformes; Adrianichthyidae. The transcript is spliced from 2 exons. The record is from RefSeq and is a predicted model, not a curated record.